Molecule: ribosomal RNA, 164 nt
Filed under: uncultured bacterium
Lineage: Bacteria
Description: partial 16S rRNA
Rfam family: Bacterial small subunit ribosomal RNA
Source: RNAcentral
UAGGGAAUCUUCCACAAUGGGCGCAGACCUGAUGGAGCAACACCGCGUGAGUGAAGAAGGGUUUCGGCUCGUAAAGCUCUGUUGUUAAAGAAGAACACGUAUGAGAGUAACUGUUCAUACGUUGACGGUAUUUAACCAGAAAGUCACGGCUAACUACGUGCCAC